GAUGAAGAACGCAGCGAAAUGCGAUAAGUAAUGUGAAUUGCAGAAUUCAGUGAAUCAUCGAAUCUUUGAACGCACCUUGCGCCCUUUGGCUAUUCUGAAGGGCAUGUCUGUUUGAGUAUCGUGAACACCUCAACUCUCAUGGUCUGCCAUGAUGAGCUUGGACUUUGGGGGUCUUGCUGGCCUACUGUCAGCUCCUCUCAAAUGAAUCAGCUUACCAGUGUUUGGUGGCACCACAGGUGUGAUAACUAUCUACGCUUGUGGUUUUCUGCCAGGUAACCUCCAGUGAUGGAGGUUCGCUGGAGCUCACAAAUGUCUCUCCUCAGCGAGGACAGCUUUUUGAACGUUUGAUCUCAAAUCAGGUAGGACUACCCGCUGAACUUAAGCAUAUCAAUAAGCGGAGGA
RNAcentral lists this unclassified non-coding RNA (402 nucleotides) under soil metagenome. RNAcentral describes it as "partial contains 5.8S ribosomal RNA, internal transcribed spacer 2, and large subunit ribosomal RNA". The stretch from base 1 to 121 matches the Rfam family "5.8S ribosomal RNA", at positions 35 to 154 of the family's 154-position model. The record is from RNAcentral.